This is a long non-coding RNA of Prunus dulcis (almond), 3233 nucleotides long. RefSeq lists it as uncharacterized. The transcript is spliced from 2 exons. Lineage: Eukaryota; Viridiplantae; Streptophyta; Magnoliopsida; Rosales; Rosaceae. The record is from RefSeq and is a predicted model, not a curated record.
AGCAGCUUUUCUUUCCCUAUGAACGUAAACCAUAGAGAAAUUCCAAACUCCAGCUAAUCAGGUUUCUGCAUCUUUAAGUCUGUUUUGAUUUAUUAAAGGAAUGAAAUGAUGAAUAAGUGUUUCGCAUCUGUACAAAUAAAAUGAUUUCUUGUAUAAGCUGUUCAGUUGCGAAGGUUGUUGCUAUAGAGUGUGUGCCCCACUCGUCUAACCCCAGCAUUGGCAUUUGCUUCAGUAACCCUGAUAAUCAGGUACCCCAGCUCCGUUUCACCUCUAAAUUUAUGCUUUAAAGAUGAAUGACAUUUCAUGCAACAAUUUACAGAGCUGCUACUGUUUAGGAAAUCUAUUCUACCAAUUUGUGUUUGUUGGUUUCAUCUUGUCAGGUGUUUAUGCCUUGUUUAGGAAAGCUAGUUUGCAGUUUGCAUUGCUGUUGGAGUUGUGUGGCCUUCAUCAUCUCUUCAAUAAUCUUCAAUAAGGGUUAUAUCAUGGCUAUUUCAGGUAAAAUUGCUAAAGAUUUUAUAUUAUAGAUAAUAUUUGUUUUUGUUAACUUGAAAAGGAAAAUGGAGUGAAAAUUCCAUUAUUGAUUGUUCUAAUAGGUUUUCUUGUGACCUUCCAUACAAUAAAUGAUUCGUUAUCUUUGCUUUAUGCUUAGCUAACAUUGUUCUUAAGAAACUGCUACUUUCAUUAACAUAAUGUAUCACAAUCAUUUAUUAAAGUGCUAUAAAAAGGUCUGUGCAGUGAUCUUUUUGUAAUAGCUUCUAUAGUGAUGUCUUGGAUGCUAUAAUCCAUUUUUGUUUUUUUGUUUCAAAUACUUCCUACUUGGCUUAGAGGGAUCUGUAUAUGCCUCUCAAAGACGAUGAGAUCUUUGAGCAUGUACAUGGGAGGUGACGAUAAGUUAAAUUUCUUGGCUAUAGACCAUGGGUUGAUAAGUUAGUACUUUUAUAAUGCGGUGAAGAUCAUCACGUGUAGAUACAAAGGAGCUAUUGGCUUAGAUUCACAUUUUAAGAUCAAUAGGAAUGGUUGAGAAGGUUGGUGUGCAAGGGACUGAGUUGCAUUCUUUUAAUUGAGACAUCUCAAAGUGUUUGUGGAAUUCACAUCCCACAAAUUGAUGCUUUCAUUGAGAGCCACCUCAACAGGAUUUUCUAUUUUGUUAUAGAUAACUUAGAACCUUGCUAUUAUUAGGGAAUCUCUUUUACAUUUUACUUUCUAAUUUGUUAUAGAUGAGAUUUCCAAUGUGGAUAUAGUUGUCUCUGCCUGAUGCAAUCCUAGACAUCCAGAUAUCUUGGAAACAUUAGCAAAGUAUGUGCUUGUUCAUAAAGUUUAUUUUUCUUUGUUCUGGGUACAUUGCUUUCUGAGCUUAUCAUUGUGCUAGUUUUUCUUUCUUCCUUUUGGUUUAAUAAAGAAUGAUAAUGAUGCAAGCCAGAAUAUUUAGCAUCUUGAGCAACCAAUUAUUCCUUGUAAAAGAAUGUUUCUUUUAUGUUGGUUUUGAUUUAAUAAGGAUUUCUUGUCAAAGAUGUUCAGUUGGCUGGUCAGGUCCCCACAAUUUUUUUUUCCCUCUUGUACUGUCUCUUCACGUCAAUAAUGCCAUAAUAUGAAGGAAACUAUGGAGUCUGUCCCCUUUUUUAAACUCUGCAGUGGCAUUUGCUUCAGUGACUCUGAUAAUCAGGUACACCAUCUUCAUUUCUCCUUUAUAUUUAUGAAAUAACCCAAUCAGUGUUUUCUUUGUUUUUUCUUUUGUGGCUUAGAUUUCUCCCUCCUUUUUUGUUUCUUUUUCUGGGGUCUCAUUUAUGUUGCUGUCACUAUGGUUAUGUUUUAAAGAUUAAUGACAUUUCAUGCAACAAUUUACAGAGCCGCUACUGUUUAGGAAAUCUAUGCUACCAAUUUGUGUUCUUUGGUUUCAUCUUAUCAGAUGUUUUGAGCCUUGUUUUGGAAAUCUGUGGUAAAUAAAAUUUAGGUUUGUUCGAAUUUAAAAAGCUGCUACAGUUUAAAGAAAUCUUUUGUCCCAAUUCUUGAUUGCUGGUUUUAUCUUUUAUGAUGGUGAGCUUUAUUUUCAGGUGCAAUGAUGUUUGAGGUCCAAGGUAUUCUUUUUCUAUUUUUUUUGUUUUUUCAUGGUUUCAAUAUUGGUCUUAGUAAAAUAAAAGAAUUGACAUAUGGGCAGAAAUUGUGGGGAUAAAUGGACAUCAUAAGAAAAGCAACAAAGAUAAUAGAUUUACCUAUUCCAUUGUCUAAUUGAGAAUCAAUUACACUAGAUUUAAUCCUGUUUUUCUUUUGGGUUUUGGUCAAGAUCUGGUUGCAUAAGGUUGGCCGUUGUCAAACCUGCAAGUCCAAAUCAAAUUUUGCUAAUAGCAGAGUCAAAUAGCAUGGUACUGAGACAUUGUGCAUUGGAGAUUUUUCUGUUAUCUGUUUUCUGCACUUACCUUACCCCAUACUAAUAUGAUUUUCAUGGGAUUAUGUGCACUAUAUGAGAUCUGGAGGUAAUUGUGAGUACGUAUUAUACGAUCCGAAUGACACAAAAACAGUUUAUGAUUUGAGUUGCAGUAUUUAGUUCUCUACUAGCUAAUCGUUACAUUAUUAGUGGACCAUGAAUGGUCAGGUCUCUUCAAUUAUAUGGGGAAUAUAAUGCCCUCAUUCAAGUUUAUUAAGUAUUGUAUUGUUUCACAUGUUCUGAAUAUUUACGUACAUUUAACCUUUAACUAAAGGAAAACCUUGGUGCAGUAUCAUCAAACCCUUAGUGAAAAUGUCCAUUAGUGCCAUUCACAUAUUUCUUUGUGAUGUUUCUGUUUCUUGACGGUUCUUCAGCGAAAUUGAAGCAUUUCUCAUAAUAUGCCCCUCUUGUGCUCUCUUUGCAUAAAUAAUGUCAUAAUAUGAUGAAAACUAUGGGGUGCAUGCCCCCCCACGUCAGAUCGCAGCAUUGACAUUUGCUUCAGUAACCCUGAUGAUCAGGUACCCAAUCUUCAUUUCUCCUCUAAAUUUAUGAAAUAACCCAGUUAGUCUUUUCUUUGUUGCCGUUGUGCCUUAGAUUUCUCUCCCAUUUUAUUGAUUUUUUCCCUGACUUCUCAUUUAUGGUAUUGCCACUAUGGUUUUGUUUUAAAGACGAAUGACAUUUGAUACAACAAUUUACAGAGCUGUUACCUUCAGGAAAUCUAUGCUACCAAUUUGUCUUUGUUGGUUUCAUCUUGUCAGGUGUUUGAGCCUUGUUUAGGAAAUCUGUGGUAAAUAAAAUUUGUGUUUGUUUG